AACGAACGCUGGCGGCAUGCCUAACACAUGCAAGUCGAACGAGACCUUCGGGUCUAGUGGCGCACGGGUGCGUAACGCGUGGGAACCUGCCUUUAGGUUCGGAAUAACUCAGAGAAAUUUGAGCUAAUACCGGAUGAUGUCUUCGGACCAAAGAUUUAUCGCCUUUGGAUGGGCCCGCGUUGGAUUAGCUAGUUGGUGGGGUAAAGGCCUACCAAGGCGACGAUCCAUAGCUGGUCUGAGAGGAUGGUCAGACACACUGGGACUGAGACACGGCCCAGACUCCUACGGGAGGCAGCAGUGGGGAAUAUUGGACGCUGGGCGAAAGCCUGAUCCAGCCAUGCCGCGUGAGUGAUGAAGGCCUUAGGGUUGUAAAGCUCUUUUAGCCGAGAUGAUAAUGACGGUAUCGGGAGAAUAAGCUCCGGCUAACUCCGUG
This 433-nucleotide ribosomal RNA is filed under the name uncultured bacterium. Its description in RNAcentral is "partial 16S ribosomal RNA". It matches the Rfam family "Bacterial small subunit ribosomal RNA", at positions 29 to 507 of the family's 1533-position model. The record is from RNAcentral.